CAUUCCCUUUGAUCAGGAUCGUUGCAACCAUGAGAUAGCUAAGAUGAUUAUACAGCAUGAAUAUCCACUACACAUAGUGGAACAUCCUGCCUUCAUUGAUUUUGUCCGAACUCUUCAACCCCAGUUCAAUAUGGUGAGUUUUAACACUAUUCAAGGGGAAUGUGUGGCAAUUUACCUAGGGGAAAAGCAAAACCUUUUGAAUCUUAUCAGAGGGAUUCCUGGACGAGUCAACCUUACAUUGGAUUUAAAUACCUCAAACCUCAAUAUUGGCUAUGCAUUUCUAACAGGACACUUCAUUGAUGAUGAUUGGAAUUUACAUCGCCGGGUCCUUAAUGUUGUUAUGCUUCCCUUUCCUGAUUCAGAUUAUGCCUUCAAUCAAGCUGUUGUGUCUUGUAUAUCUGAUUGGAAUUUGGAGAACAGGCUAUUUACCCUUACCCUUGAUCAAUCCUUUGCAAAUGAAACUAUGGUAGGAAAUCUCAGAGGCCUUCUGUCUGUCAGGAAUCCACUCAUGUUCAAUGGUCAAUUGUUGAAAGGGAAUUGCUAUGCUCGUGUUUU
This 555-nucleotide unclassified non-coding RNA is filed under the name Hevea brasiliensis (rubber tree). Lineage: Eukaryota; Viridiplantae; Streptophyta; Magnoliopsida; Malpighiales; Euphorbiaceae. The record is from RNAcentral.